UGGGGAAUUUUGGACAAUGGGCGAAAGCCUGAUCCAGCAAUGCCGCGUGUGUGAAGAAGGCCUUCGGGUUGUAAAGCACUUUUGUCCGGAAAGAAAUCCUUGGCUCUAAUACAGUCGGGGGAUGACGGUACCGGAAGAAUAAGCACCGGCUAACUACGUGCCAGCAGCCGCGGUAAUACGUAGGGUGCAAGCGUUAAUCGGAAUUACUGGGCGUAAAGCGUGCGCAGGCGGUUUGCUAAGACCGAUGUGAAAUCCCCGGGCUCAACCUGGGAACUGCAUUGGUGACUGGCAGGCUAGAGUAUGGCAGAGGGGGGUAGAAUUCCACGUGUAGCAGUGAAAUGCGUAGAGAUGUGGAGGAAUACCGAUGGCGAAGGCAGCCCCCUGGGCCAAUACUGACGCUCAUGCACGGAAAGCGUGGGGAGCAAAACAGGAUUAGAUACCCUGGUAGUCCACGCCCUAAAACGAUGUCAACUAGUUGUUGGGGAUUCAUUUCCUUAGUAACGUAGCUAAACGCGUGAAGUUGACCGCCUGGGGAGUACGGUCGCAAAGAUUAAAACUCAAAGGAAUUGACGGGGUCAUAGCUGUUUCCU
This 590-nucleotide ribosomal RNA is filed under the name uncultured bacterium. Its description in RNAcentral is "partial 16S ribosomal RNA". It matches the Rfam family "Bacterial small subunit ribosomal RNA", at positions 355 to 1375 of the family's 1533-position model. The record is from RNAcentral.